Molecule: ribosomal RNA, 701 nt
Filed under: uncultured bacterium
Lineage: Bacteria
Description: bacterial SSU rRNA
Rfam family: Bacterial small subunit ribosomal RNA
Source: RNAcentral
UCGAACGGCAGCACGGGGGCAACCCUGGUGGCGAGUGGCGAACGGGUGAGUAAUGCAUCGGAACGUGCCCAGUAGUGGGGGAUAGCCCGGCGAAAGCCGGAUUAAUACCGCAUACGUACUGAGGUAGAAAGCGGGGGACCGAAAGGCCUCGCGCUAUUGGAGCGGCCGAUGUCGGAUUAGCUUGUUGGUGGGGUAACGGCCUACCAAGGCGACGAUCCGUAACUGGUCUGAGAGGACGACCAGUCACACUGGGACUGAGACACGGCCCAGACUCCUACGGGAGGCAGCAGUGGGGAAUUUUGGACAAUGGGCGAAAGCCUGAUCCAGCAAUGCCGCGUGUGUGAAGAAGGCCUUCGGGUUGUAAAGCACUUUUGUCCGGAAAGAAAUCCGCCUGGCUAAUACCCGGGCGGGAUGACGGUACCGGAAGAAUAAGCACCGGCUAACUACGUGCCAGCAGCCGCGGUAAUACGUAGGGUGCGAGCGUUAAUCGGAAUUACUGGGCGUAAAGCGUGCGCAGGCGGCUUUGUAAGACAGAUGUGAAAUCCCCGGGCUCAACCUGGGAACUGCAUUUGUGACUGCAAGGCUAGAGUGCGUCAGAGGGAGGUGGAAUUCCGCGUGUAGCAGUGAAAUGCGUAGAGAUGCGGAGGAACACCGAUGGCGAAGGCAGCCUCCUGGGAUGACACUACGCUCUCACAAGCGAC